UCUAGAUAAAGGGCAGUAACUUCCGGGUCAUGGGUCGUUGCCAUGGAAAGAGGCAUUAAUGUCUGGAUGUUGCCAUGGCAAUGGUAAAGUGACAAGGCACACUGAUGGGUGUGUCUUAUGGAAAGGUGCUUUUGCCUCUUCCUUGUUUUAGCUAGUCCUCAAUCUGGUCCAGUGUCGAGUCUUGCCUCCUGCCUCACUUCCAGUCCUCCUGUUACAGAUGAAGAAACAAGGGAAACAAGGGCUCAGCAAGGUUCACCCCCACCACCGGCUUCCCGUUACACAGUUAUUUCUCCUGUAAAUGUGGUAAACGACCAAGUCCACAGUCCCCCUGUGGGGAGAUUCACGGCGCAGACUCCAGGGCCUCCUGCCACCUGACUCCAGCUGAAGACUCUGAGGAUGGGGGCCACAUGAGGGUGAUUACAGGGUCCCUUCUUCGGCAGGACCAGCCGCAUCAGACAGCGAAGAGGAGCUGCUCAGCUGGCAAGGGGACUUGGCGGGGAGUGAGGGUUCAGGGUGUUCCAAUCAGCCAGAAUCCUCCUUAGAGCUGGCAAUGAAUUCUCAAUGAAGCUUUGUUUUCAACGGGCUCUUCCUUCCCGGUGACUCCAGGUGGCAAAUCUGACAUUCUGCUUCCCCUGCAUGCCAUGGCUUCCAGAUCUGAGCCCUUAUGAUGUGCUGAAUUUUUACUGACUUCAGCCCCAAGCAGUCCAGAUAACCAAUUCCAGCUUCUCCGAGCUUCCUCCAACAUCCACUGCCUGUAACCACUCCUGACACCAACUUCUAUAUAAGGCAAGGUUCUUAGUUGCAGGUAACAUAAACCAGCUCCGGUUAACUUAUAAAGAAACGGAUGUUCAAAGAAUGGAUAUUGAAAAGGAUAUUCAAAGAAUUCCAGGUGACUCAUGCAUUGCUGAGCAGGCUUGGAGACCUGGUUUUGUGGUAUGCAAACAGGAUCAGUCCUCUCCAAUGCAGCCUGAGGUCAGUGCUCUGAACACCUGUUUGACACUGCAGCCCCUGUGACUGGCACCUUCCAACUGAAUACCCAGCACUGGGCACUGUGGCUCCACGGCUCAGCCAGGGAGACGCUCUGCUUCUUUGCAGCACUAAUUUUGUUGUUCAGUCUUGAGUUGGUGUGCCUGACUGGUGAGCCUCACAGACUUCAGCUGUGUCUGAGAAAGGGCGUAGUGGGGAUUUUUAGUUUCUAGGCGGGCGGGCGGGGGGUGGUCCCUGGGUCCACAGCCUACAAGGUGCGGUUCAGACGGUGUGUGGUCAAAACAACGAAACGUAAGUGGAAUGUCUGUUUCAUUCUGUACCACGUUUCUUCCAUUUCUUCCAGCUGAGCACAGGAUGAGGCUGCCUGCCCAGAUAGCUGUCCCUUCUGACUUAGGAUCUCUUUGGCUGUACAUUGAAGGAUGAAGAAGUGUGUAGCUGUUUUACCUAUGACUGGAUUCCCAGAUCCUAGCUCAGCUGCGGACACACCAUGGGCACUCACUUCAUGUUGUUAGGUGAUGGAACAUGUCUUGUGGGGACAGGACUAAGGGUGAGACACCUGCCCCAGGUGCAAAGGUUAAAGGGGCACCAAAAAUUCUCAGUGAUCAAAAUAAGUCAUCAUUUCAUGCAAUAUGUAUAUAUUUUUUGAGGCAGAGUCGUGCUCUGUCACCCAAGCUGGAGUGCAGUAGCGUGAUCUCAGCUCACUGCAACCUUCGCCUCCUGGGUUCAAGUGAUUCUUGUGCUUCAGCUGCCUGCGUAGCUGGGACCACAGGCACAUGCCACCACACCUGGCUAAUUUUUGUAUUUUUAGGACAGACAGGGUUUUGCCAUGUUGGCCAGGCUGGUCUCAAACUCCUGACCUCAAUGAUCUGCCUGCUUCAGCCCCCUGAAGUGCUGGAAUUACAGGCGUGAGCCACCACGCUCAGCCUCAUGCAGUAUUUUAAGAAAUCAAAAUUAAUGCAAACAAGUUCACCACGAGCCAGUCCGGGAGUGGUGGCUCAUGCCUGUAAUCCCAGCACUUUGGGAGGCCGAGGUGGGCAGAUACUUGAGGUCAGGAAUUUGAGACCAGUCUGGCCAACAUGGUGAAACCCCGUCUCUACUAAAAACACAAAAAUUAGCCAGACAUGGUGGCGGGCGCUUGUAAUCCCAGCUACUUGAGAGGCUGAGGCAGGAGAAUCGCUUGAACCUGGGAGGCGGAGGUUGUAGUGAGCUAAGAUUGCACCACUGCACUCAAG
Molecule: long non-coding RNA, 2219 nt
Filed under: Homo sapiens (human)
Lineage: Eukaryota; Metazoa; Chordata; Mammalia; Primates; Hominidae
Description: HSALNT0406096
Source: RNAcentral